GGGGAUGAUCGGCUUCGACAGAAAAUACCAGCGAUUUGCGGCAAGCCGAAGCUUUUGCUAUGACAGCUUCGUUAAAAAAGUCAUAUCACUCGUAGCUUUAUACGAGAACGUUUCUAAGCGUCGAAAAUAAUUCACAAAGCUUACUAAGCAAACUAGCUGCUAAAGUAGAGAAUUUCUUUGCUGCACCAGCUCUAAACUUUGCUUAAUAGCUGUUAGCUUGAGACCUAACGGUCUCGCUAUCCCUCGGAUAACACUCUCUCCUGAUGGGGAUUAUCUUGAGGUUCAUUAGUCAGGAUGCAGAUUAUUGUAUUCGUUUGCUACCUUAAUCAAAGACUUAGGUAAACGGUCAACUUUGGGUUUUUGUGGGUCUUUAUCCACUGUUGUCUGAAACAGACCCCCUACGCUUGUACACUGUAUUUCAAUGGAUUUUUUGGACGCGGGUUCGAUUCCCGCCAUCUCCACCA
RNAcentral lists this transfer-messenger RNA (464 nucleotides) under Candidatus Dojkabacteria. RNAcentral's name for it is "JAGQLK01 sp020429485 Standard tmRNA". It matches the Rfam family "transfer-messenger RNA". From Rfam's summary of the family: Bacterial tmRNA, also known as 10Sa RNA or SsrA, is named for its dual tRNA and mRNA-like properties. RNAcentral also lists the same sequence under 1 other name. The record is from RNAcentral.